RNAcentral lists this ribosomal RNA (629 nucleotides) under uncultured Chlorophyta. RNAcentral describes it as "eukaryotic LSU rRNA". The stretch from base 208 to 361 matches the Rfam family "5.8S ribosomal RNA". The record is from RNAcentral. Lineage: Eukaryota; Viridiplantae; Chlorophyta.
ACAAACCGUGAACUCCUUGUCGUCACCAGCAGAUCCCUUGACCGGGUUUCUGCUGGGCGUCGUAUCGCCUAACAGCCAUGCGGCGGGUCUCACGGCCGGCCUUACGGCUGACCGCGGGGCCGACUGCUUUAACCCAACAAACACCAAAGCAAUCAACCUGAAACAGUUUGCCGUCGACUUGAUCGGCGUUGCAACCAAACAAAUGACAACUCUCAACAACGGAUAUCUUGGCUCCYGCAUCGAUGAAGAACGCAGCGAAAUGCGAUACGUAGUGUGAAUUGCAGAAUUCCGUGAAUCAUCGAAUCUUUGAACGCAUAUUGCGCUCGAGACCUCGGUCAAGAGCAUGUCUGGCUCAGCGUCGGCUCACCCCACUCGCCACCCUCUCCCCUGUGGAGAANGGCAGGCGGAUCUGGCCGUGUCUGAGNUCCUUGANAGAACAGGCUCGGCUGAAGAACAGANGCUUGAGCAUGGUCCCGCUGAUANGGCGCCAGCUUGGUANGUAGCUUACGCUGCAUGCCGCUGACUCCCUAAGGACCUGUGCUGUAAAGCCGGCAGGAAUCGGAACCGAAGCUCCGAACUCUUACUUUCACCUGAGCUAAGGCAAAUACCCGCUGAACUUAAGCAUAUCA